Molecule: long non-coding RNA, 2614 nt
Filed under: Mus musculus (house mouse)
Lineage: Eukaryota; Metazoa; Chordata; Mammalia; Rodentia; Muridae
Description: long non-coding RNA chr9:80093654-80096268
Source: RNAcentral
UGUCUUUGACUGUGUGAUUCCCUCUUUUUAAGUAGAAGAUUUCACACCCCUUUUAUGGGUGGAACUUGGCAGUUUCCAUUGUCUUGAAGUAUAUCUUCAAAAUAAUUCAUGAGACCUGUUAUAUUUUAUUUUAUACUUGCUCUUUAGAAACUCAAAUUUUUGAGGAGAAUUUAAAAUAAGAGCCAUUUGUUGUAUUACUUUUUAGAUCUAAGAAGAUAUCUAAUGAAGCCAAUGUGUAAUACUGACCUUACUGUACUGGAUUGAACUGUACUUAGUUGGCCUAAGGAGCAAAACUAAUUUUUAUUAUUUUUCUUGUUGUAUAAGAUUUCAGUGUGUCAAGCAAAUUCUAUUAAUUUUAAGUAUUUGGUUACAAGUAGGAGUUUUCACUGAUGUUGGCAAUGCUGUUCAUCCUUAAAGUAUUGAAAGUAAUGUUGGGAAAAGGUUUAAAUGAUUUUAAACUAUUUCAGAAUCAUUUUUAGAAUGUUAUUAUCUCCUUUCAUUUAAUUCAAAGUUCUUUGGCCCUAGGAGUUAGCUGUUACGCUGUAAAUACUGUAUUAUAACUGAUAACAUUUAUGUUUGGUGUACAAUUUACUUGGUGACCUUUAUUUUUAAGCUUGUUAUUUAUUCAAAACACUUUAUCAAACCUUAGAAACUUGCUAUAUAUGAUGCUUAUGUAGAUUUACAAGAAUAGAUCUUUAACUUAAAAUUAUUAAAUCUUUCUCGUGAUUUAAGGUGAUUUUCUCCGUUUGGUUUUUAAAAUGUUUCACUGUAGUUUUCACAUAAGAUUCUUAAGAAAUUAAAUACAAAAGAGAGAAUUUACUGAUCAUACCAAAAAUUUGCUUUAUGUAAUCUAGGGUGCACAAACAGUGCAGGCUCCUUGGCCAGCAUGGGGCUCUAACAUAAGGAUCAAGGAUCAAAAGUAAGAUGUGUGGUCACACAGAAAGAUCCAAGUCAGAAGGCUGGCUUGUGUUUUGUUUUAUCCAGGUCUUUGCCUUAUUGUACCUUGUAUGUGUAGUGAUAUUUAGAAGACCUAAUGAUAUUUGAAGACCAAUGGUUUUUGGUAACUGGAAUUAACUUAUUUUUUUAAGAUUUAUUUAUUUUAUGUAUUUUAUUUGAGUACACUGUAGCUGUACAGAUGGUUGUGAGCCUUCAUGUGGUUGCUGGGAAUUGAAUUUAGGACCUCUGCUCCCUCUGGUCAGCCCUGUUCUCUCAGUCCUUGCUGGCUCUGGCCCAAAGAUUUAUUUAUUAUUAUACAUAAGUACACUGUAGCUAUCUUCAGACACUCCAGAAGAGGGUGUCAGAUCCCAUUACAGAUGGUUGUGAGCCUCCAUGUGGUUGCUGGGAUUUGAACUCAGGAUCUUCGGAAGAGCAGUCAGUACUCUUACCCACUGAGCCAUCUCUCCAGCCCCUGGAAUUAAUUCAUAUUACAGGAGUCAAACUAUGUCACCAGAGUGCUUAGAGCAGUAAAGAAAACUUCAGAGAUUCAGAUGAACAGGACCAUCUGCUCAUGCCUGUCUAUAUAAGAGCAAACACACUUUUUGUUUGUUUGUUUGUUUAUUUAUUUAUUUAUUUAUUUUAAUUAAUUUUUUUAAAGUUCUGUGACCUGGGUUUUAAAGGAUUUUGAAGUCCAAAGUCUAGUCAUUGAAAGUUCCUCUCGGUUUUAUUCCUUCAAAAAGCAAAGUGAUUUGUAUUUUACAAAAUGGGUGUAGAUGAAGAACAGUGUAUUUGAAAGACUACUAUGGCAGAGUCCCACCAUUUACUAAUGAUUUAUUAUUAAGGACAGGAAGGCGGAUAAAUGAAUCCCUAUGUGAUGGCCUCUGCCUGCAGUCUUAGCACUCCGGAUCCAGCUGAGGCAGAAAAAAUGCCAUGGAUUUGAGGACAUCUGGGCUAGUGAGUUUAAGGCUAGUCAGGGUUACUGGCCCUAGGUUCUAUCCCCAGCACCUCUCCACCCCUAGCAAACAGGCUUAGGUUUGUUCAGUAGCACAGCUAUGUGAACUAAGUGUGAGAAUAUCCCAGAGCAGAGCUGUGCUGUGCUGUGCUGCACGGGCACUUAACUGUGAGUGUGCUUCAGAGGCCCCGAGCACAGUGGUGAGGCCUAAAGAGAAAAGGAUUGUCUUUUCUGAUUUCUCUUAAAUGUUGUUGUUUUCUUAAGUCUUAAUUUGAAAUCUAAAAAAUGUUGCCAGUUUGGUAGUUCACAGAAUAGUUUUUGGAGAGUAUUGGGGCUUUUAUUUUAUUUUACUUUAUUUUUUAAGUCAGACCUACAUGAUCGUAAUUAGUAGUUUUUAAGGAAGUUUAUUACUUUUUAAAAAAAAUCUGAAAAGGGCAUGAAGGAGGAUUGUUAAAUAUUACAUCAGUUUUAUAUCAUUGGGGCAGAUGAUUGACUUUCUCAUUCUUACUGCUAUUCUAAAAGUUCUUUCUGUAUUAAAGAUAGACUCACGCACUACAGUGCUAAGGAAGGUAAUAGAAAAAUGAACUGCAGGUCUGUGUCUGUUUUCAUUGCAGCUUCACUCUAUUUAAGCAGACUUAAAACCUAGCACAUUUUAUAGUUUUUGUUUUAUUUAUAAUUUCAUUUUCUGAUCAAAAAAAUUUUUUAGCUUUCUUUAAAGGAUUGAUU